This 69-nucleotide transfer RNA is filed under the name Ictidomys tridecemlineatus (thirteen-lined ground squirrel). RNAcentral describes it as "Spermophilus tridecemlineatus (thirteen-lined ground squirrel) tRNA". It matches the Rfam family "tRNA". From Rfam's summary of the family: Transfer RNA (tRNA) molecules are approximately 80 nucleotides in length. The record is from Rfam by way of RNAcentral. Lineage: Eukaryota; Metazoa; Chordata; Mammalia; Rodentia; Sciuridae.
GGGGUUGUGGCUCAGUGGUAGAGUGCCUACCUUACACGUGUGAGACACUGGGUUCAAUCCUCAGCACCA